UGGAGCGACAGUCGAAGGACUCUGUCACCCUGUCUUGGUCUUCAGGACGUCACCAGGUCCGUGUGUGGCAGUUCCCUUUCCGACUGGAGAUCCUGUGUGAAGACAAAGUGAUGGUUACAUUCAACUCGAAGGGAAAACUGUGGUUUGAGACGCUGCAGGAUCCGCCAGGGGCCUCAUCUCGAGAUAGCGAGCUUCAAGAGGACACGAGUUCGUUGUGGAGGGAAACUUUCAGGGAUUUUGUGGAUGUCAAAGCUAACGGUUUGUUUCUGUCAUUUUACUGAUUUGUACUGAUAUUUGUCUCUGACUCUGAUCUGUUUUUUUC
Plectropomus leopardus (leopard coralgrouper) is the source of this 322-nucleotide non-coding RNA. The record is from RefSeq and is a predicted model, not a curated record. NCBI's taxonomy places the organism in Eukaryota, Metazoa, Chordata, Actinopteri, Perciformes, Serranidae.